Molecule: ribosomal RNA, 979 nt
Filed under: uncultured Mesoplasma sp.
Lineage: Bacteria; Bacillati; Mycoplasmatota; Mollicutes; Entomoplasmatales; Entomoplasmataceae
Description: bacterial SSU rRNA
Rfam family: Bacterial small subunit ribosomal RNA
Source: RNAcentral
CACGGCGAACUAUGUGCCAGCAGCCGCGGUAAUACAUAGGUGGCAAGCGUUAUCCGGAUUUAUUGGGCGUACAGGGUGCGUAGGCGGUUGUGUAAGUUUGAGGUUAAAGCCCGGAGCUCAACUCCGGUUCGCCUUGAAAACUACAUAACUAGAAUGCAAGAGAGGUAAAUGGAAUUCCAUGUGUAGCGGUAAAAUGCGUAGAUAUAUGGAAGAACACCUGUGGCGAAAGCGGUUUACCAGCUUGUUAUUGACGCUGAGGCACGAAAGCGUGGGGAGCAAAUAGGAUUAGAUACCCUAGUAGUCCACGCCGUAAACGUUGAGUACUAGGUGUCGGGAAUUAUCUCGGCGCCGCAGCUAACGCAUUAAGUACUCCGCCUGAGUAGUAUGCACGCAAGUGUGAAACUCAAAGGAAUUGACGGGGACCCGCACAAGUGGUGGAGCAUGUGGUUUAAUUCGAAGCAACACGAAGAACCUUACCAGGGCUUGACAUCCAGUGCAAAGGCAUAGAGAUAUGCUGGAGGCUAACAUUGAGACAGGUGGUGCAUGGUUGUCGUCAGUUCGUGCCGUGAGGUGUUUGGUUAAGUCCAGCAACGAACGCAACCCUUGUCAUUAGUUACUAACAUUAAGUUGAGGACUCUAAUGAGACUGCUAGUGUAAGCUAGAGGAAGGUGGGGAUGACGUCAAAUCAUCAUGCCCCUUAUGUCCUGGGCUACACACGUGCUACAAUGGCUGAUACAAAGAGUCGCAAUCUCGUAAGGAGGAGCUAAUCUCAUAAAGUCAGUCUCAGUUCGGAUUGAGGGCUGCAACUCGCCCUCAUGAAGCCGGAAUCACUAGUAAUCGCGAAUCAGACAUGUCGCGGUGAAUACGUUCUCGGGUCUUGUACACACCGCCCGUCACACCACGAGAGUUGGUAACACCAGAAGUAGGUAGCCUAACCGUAAGGAGGGCGCCUCCCAAGGUGGGAUCAGCGAUUGGGGUG